AUUGAACGCUGGCGGCAUGCCUUACACAUGCAAGUCGAACGGCAGCAUGAUCUAGCUUGCUAGAUUGAUGGCGAGUGGCGAACGGGUGAGUAAUACAUCGGAACGUGCCCUGUAGUGGGGGAUAACUAGCCGAAAGAUUAGCUAAUACCGCAUACGACCUGAGGGUGAAAGUGGGGGACCGCAAGGCCUCAUGCUAUAGGAGCGGCCGAUGUCUGAUUAGCUAGUUGGUGAGGUAAAGGCUCACCAAGGCGACGAUCAGUAGCUGGUCUGAGAGGACGAUCAGCCACACUGGGACUGAGACACGGCCCAGACUCCUACGGGAGGCAGCAGUGGGGAAUUUUGGACAAUGGGCGAAAGCCUGAUCCAGCAAUGCCGCGUGUGUGAAGAAGGCCUUCGGGUUGUAAAGCACUUUUGUCCGGAAAGAAAUGGCUCUGGUUAAUACCUGGGGUCGAUGACGGUACCGGAAGAAUAAGGACCGGCUAACUACGUG
Molecule: ribosomal RNA, 490 nt
Filed under: uncultured bacterium
Lineage: Bacteria
Description: partial 16S ribosomal RNA
Rfam family: Bacterial small subunit ribosomal RNA
Source: RNAcentral